This 449-nucleotide ribosomal RNA is filed under the name uncultured bacterium. RNAcentral describes it as "bacterial SSU rRNA". It matches the Rfam family "Bacterial small subunit ribosomal RNA", at positions 329 to 795 of the family's 1533-position model. The record is from RNAcentral.
GGCCAGACUCCUACGGGAGGCAGCAGUGGGGAAUAUUGCACAAUGGGGGAAACCCUGAUGCAGCGACGCCGCGUGAGUGAAGAAGUAUCUCGGUACGUAAAGCUCUAUCAGCAGGGAAGAAAAUGACGGUACCUGACUAAGAAGCCCCGGCUAACUACGUGCCAGCAGCCGCGGUAAUACGUAGGGGGCAAGCGUUAUCCGGAUUUACUGGGUGUAAAGGGUGCGUAGGUGGCAGGGCAAGUCAGAUGUGAAAGCCCGGGGCCCAACCCCGGUACUGCAUUUGAAACUGUCCGGCUGGAGUGCAGGAGAGGUAAGCGGAAUUCCUAGUGUAGCGGUGAAAUGCGUAGAUAUCAGGAGGAACACCAGUGGCGAAGGCGGCUUACUGGACUGUAACUGACACUGAGGCACGAAAGCGUGGGGAGCAAACAGGAUUAGAUACCCCCGUAAUC